UUUAUGGAGAGUUUGAUCCUGGCUCAGAGUGAACGCUGGCGGCGUGCCUAAUACAUGCAAGUCGAACGAUGAAGCUUCUAGCUUGCUAGAAGUGGAUUAGUGGCGCACGGGUGAGUAACGCAUAGGUCAUGUGCCUCUUAGUUUGGGAUAGCCAUUGGAAACGAUGAUUAAUACCAGAUACUCCCUACGGGGGAAAGAUUUAUCGCUAAGAGAUCAGCCUAUGUCCUAUCAGCUUGUUGGUAAGGUAAUGGCUUACCAAGGCUAUGACGGGUAUCCGGCCUGAGAGGGUGAACGGACACACUGGAACUGAGACACGGUCCAGACUCCUACGGGAGGCAGCAGUAGGGAAUAUUGCUCAAUGGGGGAAACCCUGAAGCAGCAACGCCGCGUGGAGGAUGAAGGUUUUAGGAUUGUAAACUCCUUUUGUUAGAGAAGAUAAUGACGGUAUCUAACGAAUAAGCACCGGCUAACUCCGUGCCAGCAGCCGCGGUAAUACGGAGGGUGCAAGCGUUACUCGGAAUCACUGGGCGUAAAGAGCGCGUAGGCGGGAUAGUCAGUCAGGUGUGAAAUCCUAUGGCUUAACCAUAGAACUGCAUUUGAAACUACUAUUCUAGAGUGUGGGAGAGGUAGGUGGAAUUCUUGGUGUAGGGGUAAAAUCCGUAGAGAUCAAGAGGAAUACUCAUUGCGAAGGCGACCUGCUGGAACAUUACUGACGCUGAUUGCGCGAAAGCGUGGGGAGCAAACAGGAUUAGAUACCCUGGUAGUCCACGCCCUAAACGAUGGAUGCUAGUUGUUGGAGGGCUUAGUCUCUCCAGUAAUGCAGCUAACGCAUUAAGCAUCCCGCCUGGGGAGUACGGUCGCAAGAUUAAAACUCAAAGGAAUAGACGGGGACCCGCACAAGCGGUGGAGCAUGUGGUUUAAUUCGAAGAUACACGAAGAACCUUACCUAGGCUUGACAUUGAGAGAAUCCGCUAGAAAUAGUGGAGUGUCUAGCUUGCUAGACCUUGAAAACAGGUGCUGCACGGCUGUCGUCAGCUCGUGUCGUGAGAUGUUGGGUUAAGUCCCGCAACGAGCGCAACCCCCUUUCUUAGUUGCUAACAGGUCAUGCUGAGAACUCUAAGGAUACUGCCUCCGUAAGGAGGAGGAAGGUGGGGACGACGUCAAGUCAUCAUGGCCCUUACGCCUAGGGCUACACACGUGCUACAAUGGGGUGCACAAAGAGAAGCAAUACUGCGAAGUGGAGCCAAUCUUCAAAACGCCUCUCAGUUCGGAUUGUAGGCUGCAACUCGCCUGCAUGAAGCUGGAAUCGCUAGUAAUCGCAAAUCAGCCAUGUUGCGGUGAAUACGUUCCCGGGUCUUGUACUCACCGCCCGUCACACCAUGGGAGUUGUGUUUGCCUUAAGUCAGGAUGCUAAACUAGCUACUGCCCACGGCACACACAGCGACUGGGGUGAAGUCGUAACAAGGUAACCGUAGGUGAACCUGCGGUUGGAUCACCUCCUUUCUAGA
RNAcentral lists this ribosomal RNA (1508 nucleotides) under Helicobacter pylori. Its description in RNAcentral is "bacterial SSU rRNA". It matches the Rfam family "Bacterial small subunit ribosomal RNA". The record is from RNAcentral. Lineage: Bacteria; Pseudomonadati; Campylobacterota; Epsilonproteobacteria; Campylobacterales; Helicobacteraceae.